GAUGAACGCUGGCGGCGUGCUUAACACAUGCAAGUCGAACGAAACACCUUAUUUGAUUUUCUUCGGAACUGAAGAUUUGGUGAUUGAGUGGCGGACGGGUGAGUAACGCGUGGGUAACCUGCCCUGUACAGGGGGAUAACAGUCAGAAAUGACUGCUAAUACCGCAUAAGACCACAGCACCGCAUGGUGCAGGGGUCAAAACUCCGGUGGUACAGGAUGGACCCGCGUCUGAUUAGCUGGUUGGUGAGGUAACGGCUCACCAAGGCGACGAUCAGUAGCCGGCUUGAGAGAGUGAACGGCCACAUUGGGACUGAGACACGGCCCAAACUCCUACGGGAGGCAGCAGUGGGGAAUAUUGCACAAUGGGGGAAACCCUGAUGCAGCGACGCCGCGUGAGUGAAGAAGUAUUUCGGUAUGUAAAGCUCUAUCAGCAGGGAAGAAAAUGACGGUACCUGACUAAGAAGCCCCGGCUAACUACGUG
This 481-nucleotide ribosomal RNA is filed under the name uncultured bacterium. Its description in RNAcentral is "partial 16S ribosomal RNA". It matches the Rfam family "Bacterial small subunit ribosomal RNA", at positions 28 to 507 of the family's 1533-position model. The record is from RNAcentral.